RNAcentral lists this ribosomal RNA (435 nucleotides) under uncultured bacterium. Its description in RNAcentral is "bacterial SSU rRNA". It matches the Rfam family "Bacterial small subunit ribosomal RNA", at positions 383 to 810 of the family's 1533-position model. The record is from RNAcentral.
GUGACGAAGCGACGCCGCGUGUGGGAAGAAGGCCUUCGGGUUGUAAACCACUGUCAGGAGUUAAGAAAUGUAAGGGUGCUAAUAGUAUCCUUACUUGACUAAGGCUCCAGAGGAAGCCACGGCUAACUCUGUGCCAGCAGCCGCGGUAAUACAGAGGUGGCAAGCGUUGUUCGGAAUUAUUGGGCGUAAAGAGCACGUAGGCGGUUCUGCAAGUCGGCUGUGAAAGCCUUCCGCUCAACGGAAGAACAGCAGUUGAUACUACAGGACUAGAGUGCGGGAGGGGAGAGUGGAACUUCUGGUGGAGCGGUGAAAUGCGUAGAUAUCAGAAGGAACGCCGGCGGCGAAAGCGACUCUCUGGCCCGUAACUGAUGCUGAGUGUGCGAAAGCUAGGGGAGCAAACGGGAUUAGAUACCCGGUAGUCCUAGCCGUAACGAU